RNAcentral lists this ribosomal RNA (434 nucleotides) under uncultured Lachnospiraceae bacterium. RNAcentral describes it as "partial 16S ribosomal RNA". It matches the Rfam family "Bacterial small subunit ribosomal RNA", at positions 341 to 792 of the family's 1533-position model. The record is from RNAcentral. Lineage: Bacteria; Bacillati; Bacillota; Clostridia; Lachnospirales; Lachnospiraceae.
ACGGGAGGCAGCAGUGGGGAAUAUUGGACAAUGGGGGAAACCCUGAUCCAGCGACGCCGCGUGAGUGAAGAAGUAUUUCGGUAUGUAAAGCUCUAUCAGUAGGGAAGAUAAUGACGGUACCUAACUAAGAAGCUCCGGCUAAAUACGUGCCAGCAGCCGCGGUAAUACGUACGGAGCAAGCGUUAUCCGGAUUUACUGGGUGUAAAGGGAGCGUAGACGGCAUGGCAAGUCUGAUGUGAAAUCCCCGGGCUCAACCCGGGAACUGCAUUGGAAACUGUUAAGCUAGAGUGCAGGAGAGGUAAGUGGAAUUCCUAGUGUAGCGGUGAAAUGCGUAGAUAUUAGGAGGAACACCAGUGGCGAAGGCGGCUUACUGGACUGUAACUGACGUUGAGGCUCGAAAGCGUGGGGAGCAAACAGGAUUAGAUACCCUGGUA